UUGCGUUAGGGGUAGAAGUGAAAAUCCUUUUCAAGCCAUUUGCACCAUAUUAUGUGCUUGAAAAGAUUGUAACGGAUAGCCUGACUGCAA
This 90-nucleotide small RNA is filed under the name Nonlabens sp. Hel1_33_55. RNAcentral's name for it is "Flavo-1 RNA". It matches the Rfam family "Flavo-1 RNA". The record is from RNAcentral. Lineage: Bacteria; Pseudomonadati; Bacteroidota; Flavobacteriia; Flavobacteriales; Flavobacteriaceae.